RNAcentral lists this ribosomal RNA (793 nucleotides) under uncultured bacterium. RNAcentral's name for it is "bacterial SSU rRNA". It matches the Rfam family "Bacterial small subunit ribosomal RNA", at positions 66 to 832 of the family's 1533-position model. The record is from RNAcentral.
AUUUUAGGUGCUUGCACUUGAAAGACUUAACAUUGAGACGAGUGGCGAACUGGUGAGUAACACGUGGGUAACCUGCCCUUGAAGUAGGGGAUAACACUUGGAAACAGGUGCUAAUACCGUAUAACAACCAAAACCACCUGGUUUUGGUUUAAAAGACGGCUUCGGCUGUCACUUUAGGAUGGACCCGCGGCGUAUUAGCUUGUUGGUAAGGUAACGGCCUACCAAGGCGAUGAUACGUAGCCGACCUGAGAGGGUAAUCGGCCACAUUGGGACUGAGACACGGCCCAAACUCCUACGGGAGGCAGCAGUAGGGAAUCUUCCACAAUGGACGAAAGUCUGAUGGAGCAACGCCGCGUGAGUGAUGAAGGGUUUCGGCUCGUAAAACUCUGUUGUUGGAGAAGAACAGGUGUCAGAGUAACUGUUGACAUCUUGACGGUAUCCAACCAGAAAGCCACGGCUAACUACGUGCCAGCAGCCGCGGUAAUACGUAGGUGGCAAGCGUUGUCCGGAUUUAUUGGGCGUAAAGCGAGCGCAGGCGGUUUCUUAGGUCUGAUGUGAAAGCCUUCGGCUUAACCGGAGAAGUGCAUCGGAAACCAGGAGACUUGAGUGCAGAAGAGGACAGUGGAACUCCAUGUGUAGCGGUGAAAUGCGUAGAUAUAUGGAAGAACACCAGUGGCGAAGGCGGCUGUCUGGUCUGUAACUGACGCUGAGGCUCGAAAGCAUGGGUAGCGAACAGGAUUAGAUACCCUGGUAGUCCAUGCCGUAAACGAUGAGUGCUAAGUGUUGGAGGGUU